This 524-nucleotide ribosomal RNA is filed under the name uncultured bacterium. Its description in RNAcentral is "bacterial SSU rRNA". It matches the Rfam family "Bacterial small subunit ribosomal RNA", at positions 345 to 879 of the family's 1533-position model. The record is from RNAcentral.
GAGGCAGCAGUGGGGAAUAUUGCACAAUGGGCGCAAGCCUGAUGCAGCGACGCCGCGUGAGGGAUGACGGCCUUCGGGUUGUAAACCUCUUUCAGUAGGGAAGAAGCGAAAGUGACGGUACCUGCAGAAGAAGCACCGGCUAACUACGUGCCAGCAGCCGCGGUAAUACGUAGGGUGCGAGCGUUAUCCGGAAUUAUUGGGCGUAAAGAGCUCGUAGGCGGUUUGUCGCGUCUGUCGUGAAAGUCCGGGGCUUAACCCCGGAUCUGCGGUGGGUACGGGCAGACUAGAGUGCAGUAGGGGAGACUGGAAUUCCUGGUGUAGCGGUGGAAUGCGCAGAUAUCAGGAGGAACACCGAUGGCGAAGGCAGGUCUCUGGGCUGUAACUGACGCUGAGGAGCGAAAGCAUGGGGAGCGAACAGGAUUAGAUACCCUGGUAGUCCAUGCCGUAAACGUUGGGCACUAGGUGUGGGGACCAUUCCACGGUUUCCGCGCCGCAGCUAACGCAUUAAGUGCCCCGCCUGGGGA